This 400-nucleotide ribosomal RNA is filed under the name uncultured Ruminococcus sp. Its description in RNAcentral is "bacterial SSU rRNA". It matches the Rfam family "Bacterial small subunit ribosomal RNA", at positions 356 to 769 of the family's 1533-position model. Lineage: Bacteria; Bacillati; Bacillota; Clostridia; Eubacteriales; Oscillospiraceae. The record is from RNAcentral.
UGGGAAUAUUGCACAAUGGGGGAAACCCGUGAUGCAGCGAUGCCGCGUGGAGGAAGAAGGUUUUCGGAUUGUAAACUCCUGUCUUAAAGGACGAAUAGAUGACGGUACUUUAGGAGGAAGCUCCGGCUAACUACGUGCCAGCAGCCGCGGUAAUACGUAGGGAGCGAGCGUUGUCCGGAAUUACUGGGUGUAAAGGGAGCGUAGGCGGGAUUGCAAGUCAGAUGUGAAAACUAUGGGCUUAACCCAUAGACUGCAUUUGAAACUGUAGUUCUUGAGUGAAGUAGAGGUAAGCGGAAUUCCUGGUGUAGCGGUGAAAUGCGUAGAUAUCAGGAGGAACAUCGGUGGCGAAGGCGGCUUACUGGGCUUUUACUGACGCUGAGGCUCGAAAGCGUGGGGGAGC